RNAcentral lists this ribosomal RNA (346 nucleotides) under uncultured eukaryote. RNAcentral's name for it is "SSU rRNA". It matches the Rfam family "Eukaryotic small subunit ribosomal RNA", at positions 594 to 945 of the family's 1831-position model. The record is from RNAcentral.
AUAGCGUAUAUUAAAGUUGUUGUGGUUAAAAAGCUCGUAGUUGAACCUUGGGCCUGGCUGGCCGGUCCGCCUCACCGCGUGUACUGGUCCGGCCGGGUCUUUCCCUCUGUGGACCCCCGUGCCCUUCACUGGGUGUGGCGGGGAAACAGGACUUUUACUUUUAAAAAAUUAGAGUGCUCCAAGCAGGCCUAUGCUCGAAUACAUUAGCAUGGAAUAAUAAAAUAGGACGUGCGGUUCUAUUUUGUUGGUUUCUAGAGCCGCCGUAAUGAUUAAUAGGGACAGUCGGGGGCAUCAGUAUUCAAUUGUCAGAGGUGAAAUUCUUGGAUUUAUUGAAGACUAACUACUG